AUCAUGGCUCAGAUUGAACGCUGGCGGCAUGCCUUACACAUGCAAGUCGAACGGCAGCACGGGAGCUUGCUCCUGGUGGCGAGUGGCGAACGGGUGAGUAAUACAUUGGAACGUACCCUGAAGUGGGGGAUAACGUAGCGAAAGUUACGCUAAUACCGCAUAUUCUGUGAGCAGGAAAGAGGGGGAUCGCAAGACCUCUUGCUUUAGGAGCGGCCGAUGUCGGAUUAGCUAGUUGGUGAGGUAAAGGCUCACCAAGGCGACGAUCCGUAGCGGGUCUGAGAGGAUGAUCCGCCACACUGGGACUGAGACACGGCCCAGACUCCUACGGGAGGCAGCAGUGGGGAAUUUUGGACAAUGGGCGCAAGCCUGAUCCAGCCAUGCCGCGUGAGUGAAGAAGGCCUUCGGGUUGUAAAGCUCUUUCGGUGGGGAAGAAAUUGCACAGGAUAAUACCUUGUGUAGAUGACGGUACCCGCAUAAGAAGCACCGGCUAACUACGUG
Molecule: ribosomal RNA, 498 nt
Filed under: uncultured bacterium
Lineage: Bacteria
Description: bacterial SSU rRNA
Rfam family: Bacterial small subunit ribosomal RNA
Source: RNAcentral